UACGUAGGGUGCAAGCGUUGUCCGGAAUUAUUGGGCGUAAAGAGCUCGUAGGCGGUUUGUCGCGUCGGCUGUGAAAACCCGAGGCUCAACCUCGGGCCUGCAGUCGAUACGGGCAAACUAGAGUGCGGUAGGGGAGACUGGAAUUCCUGGUGUAGCGGUGAAAUGCGCAGAUAUCAGGAGGAACACCGGCGGCGAAGGCGGGUCUCUGGGCCGUAACUGACGCUGAGGAGCGAAAGCAUGGGGAGCGAACAGG
RNAcentral lists this ribosomal RNA (253 nucleotides) under uncultured bacterium. RNAcentral describes it as "partial 16S ribosomal RNA". It matches the Rfam family "Bacterial small subunit ribosomal RNA", at positions 524 to 776 of the family's 1533-position model. The record is from RNAcentral.